ACGGGUGAGUAAUGUCUGGGGAUCUGCCCGAUAGAGGGGGAUAACCACUGGAAACGGUGGCUAAUACCGCAUAACGUCGCAAGACCAAAGAGGGGGACCUUCGGGCCUCUCACUAUCGGAUGAACCCAGAUGGGAUUAGCUAGUAGGCGGGGUAACGGCCCACCUAGGCGACGAUCCCUAGCUGGUCUGAGAGGAUGACCAGCCACACUGGAACUGAGACACGGUCCAGACUCCUACGGGAGGCAGCAGUGGGGAAUAUUGCACAAUGGGCGCAAGCCUGAUGCAGCCAUGCCGCGUGUAUGAAGAAGGCCUUCGGGUUGUAAAGUACUUUCAGCGGGGAGGAAGGCGAUGUGGUUAAUAACCGCAUUGAUUGACGUUACCCGCAGAAGAAGCACCGGCUAACUCCGUGCCAGCAGCCGCGGUAAUACGGAGGGUGCAAGCGUUAAUCGGAAUUACUGGGCGUAAAGCGCACGCAGGCGGUCUGUUAAGUCAGAUGUGAAAUCCCCGGGCUUAACCUGGGAACUGCAUUUGAAACUGGCAGGCUUGAGUCUCGUAGAGGGGGGUAGAAUUCCAGGUG
RNAcentral lists this ribosomal RNA (577 nucleotides) under uncultured bacterium. Its description in RNAcentral is "bacterial SSU rRNA". It matches the Rfam family "Bacterial small subunit ribosomal RNA", at positions 102 to 675 of the family's 1533-position model. The record is from RNAcentral.